AUCUGUUAUGACAGUUUGGAAUCAAAUACAACCUGCAUAUGCUGCCAACUUGUGGAAUGAAGCCUUGAACAAGAGACUUGGAACUGAGGACCUUGAUCUUCCUGAUAUCUUAGUAGAGACUGAAAAGCGUGGAUCAUCCUUCGGUGAACUGUUGACAAUUCCUGAACAGGAUGAUUGGCUAUACACUGAUGGGAGAUCAACUUCAUGCAUUGCUUUCAUUCUGGAAAUGUACAAGGAAGCUGGACUAUUUGAUCCAAUUGCUAGCUCUAUACAAGUGACUGAGUUUACGAUUAAGGACGCUUACACCCUCAGGUUUUUUGAAAACAACUCAAGUCGUCUUCCAAAGUGGUGCAAUGAUGGGGACAAUGUGAAGCUCCCCUAUUGUCAGAUUCGGGGCAAGUAUCGAAUGGAGCUACCAGGAUACAAUACCAUCGAUCCUUAUCCCCAUAUGAACGAACGAUGUCCAUCACUGCCUCCAAAAUAUUAUAGGCCACAGAAUUGCUAAACUACUUUUGACAUGAAAUUAUUAUACCUUGGAUUAUGUCAUUGGACGUUCAGGCAAUCUACUCUUUCUCUUGACACUACAUACUGAAGCUGCCCCGGGACAGAGUUUGGCUGAUGGUUGUAGAUAUGGCAUUGAUACUAUAAAAUUUUAGAGCAUUGGAUGAUAGAUAUUAAAUGUAUAGUGUAGACGGUUGUCGAAACAUGAACNNNNNNNNNNNNAACCUUUUCGGUCACUUCGUUCCCAUGGUUGGAACCUUCCAUGUUAAGCUGAACAAAUUUU
RNAcentral lists this unclassified non-coding RNA (784 nucleotides) under Hevea brasiliensis (rubber tree). The record is from RNAcentral. Lineage: Eukaryota; Viridiplantae; Streptophyta; Magnoliopsida; Malpighiales; Euphorbiaceae.